Pygoscelis adeliae (Adelie penguin) is the source of this 602-nucleotide long non-coding RNA. RefSeq lists it as uncharacterized. The transcript has 3 exons. Lineage: Eukaryota; Metazoa; Chordata; Aves; Sphenisciformes; Spheniscidae. The record is from RefSeq and is a predicted model, not a curated record.
GGUGAAGAUGUAUUAAAAAAUAAAGGAACUUUGAUGGCAGUUUGUUGGAGUGAGGAAUCAAAACUGGAUUUUCAGCACAUCUUAGUAACUCAUCAUUUAAAAAAUGUCAGAGGAACCACAACUGAGCAUUUCUUCUGUUCCCACCUGUGCUUUGGGAUGCGAAAGAAUAACAUUAGCACACAGAGACCUUGACUUCCUCUUGGAUGCAUCUGGAUGGUUUUAUUAGGCAGUCCACUGAGCCUGUGAUCAGUCUGAGAGCAGCUGAUGAUCAGCAUCGCCAAGAUAUGGUACUGGGCUGCUGAUCAAUUUUGUGUCUUUCAGAAGACUUGAAAAAUUAGAUUCAUGAAACAUCACUCUCAUAAAGCACAGCCUCACCAUGAGAACAUGAGGGCAGCCACAACUGUAGAAAGUAUCUUCACCAGCAACCUUUCACCCUCUGACAAAUCUUUUCUUCUUGAAGACCAGAAAGAUUGUUAUUGAGCCUUCCACAAAGCUGAAAUAAUGCUGUGUGUUAAAAAAAUGUUAACAAUUUGAAGAAGUUAUAAAAAUUUAUAAGUUGACUGAAUACUUUGGAAAUUUCUGCAUAUUUUAAUAUAAAUAGG